Molecule: ribosomal RNA, 95 nt
Filed under: Meriones unguiculatus (Mongolian gerbil)
Lineage: Eukaryota; Metazoa; Chordata; Mammalia; Rodentia; Muridae
Source: RNAcentral
AUCUGCUGCCGUACCGCCCUGAACGUGCUAGGUGGGAGCGAGCCUGGUCAGUACUUAGAUGGGAGACCGUCUGGGAAUACGAGGCGCUGUAGCCU